UGGGGAAUAUUGGACAAUGGGCGAAAGCCUGAUCCAGCCAUGUCGCGUGUGUGAAGAAGGUCUUCGGAUUGUAAAGCACUUUAAGUUGGGAGGAAGGGCAUUAACCUAAUACGUUAGUGUUUUGACGUUACCGACAGAAUAAGCACCGGCUAACUCUGUGCCAGCAGCCGCGGUAAUACAGAGGGUGCAAGCGUUAAUCGGAAUUACUGGGCGUAAAGCGCGCGUAGGUGGUUUGUUAAGUUGGAUGUGAAAGCCCCGGGCUCAACCUGGGAACUGCAUCCAAAACUGGCAAGCUAGAGUACGGUAGAGGGUGGUGGAAUUUCCUGUGUAGCGGUGAAAUGCGUAGAUAUAGGAAGGAACACCAGUGGCGAAGGCGACCACCUGGACUGAUAUUGACACUGAGGUGCGAAAGCGUGGGGAGCAAACA
This 427-nucleotide ribosomal RNA is filed under the name uncultured bacterium. RNAcentral describes it as "partial 16S ribosomal RNA". It matches the Rfam family "Bacterial small subunit ribosomal RNA", at positions 355 to 774 of the family's 1533-position model. The record is from RNAcentral.